RNAcentral lists this long non-coding RNA (603 nucleotides) under Ananas comosus (pineapple). RNAcentral's name for it is "long non-coding RNA (ACOM_LNC005236)". Lineage: Eukaryota; Viridiplantae; Streptophyta; Magnoliopsida; Poales; Bromeliaceae. The record is from RNAcentral.
UUUUCUUUUUUUUUUUUUUCAACUCUUAACUUUAGUAUUUAAUCAUCUUCUCAACGUUCGCCGUUUUUCCUCCUCCCAACCCCCUUUUUUUUCUCCUCCCCAGCCCACGCUUCUUUUCUCCUUCUCUACCAUUCGUUUUCCUUAAUUUCCACAACCCUACAUCUUCUUUUUUUGUGUAGAGUUUUUUAGAUGCUUCAGGUUAUAGUGGUGGCAGAGGCGGUGAAUGUGAUGGCAGUAGAGACCAAAGCGGCGGCGACGGCUGCGGCUGCAAAAAAAUGCAUAGGCAAUGGCAGUGGAGAUCUAGGUGGCGGCGAAAGCAAUAGCAAGUCUCACUCUCUUAGAAACCAAUACCAAGUGAGAAUUUCUUUAUCUUUUUUUUUUCUCUCUCUUAUUUGCUAUUUGUUAUCUAUUUUUAACCUAUUUUACAGUAUUUUUUGAGAUUAUUUGAUAGUUUCUGUUUAAGAUAGGUUGGAUUGGAUUAAAAAUUUAAUAUUUUGAUGAUAUCUGUCUGUCGCAUCGCGUAGAUAACUACACUAGUGUUGCACUAUUUAAUAACAGAUUAUACUUUGAAAAAAGCAGUCUGAUACUCUCUUAUUGCAAAAU